GCCGAUUUAGCUCAGUUGGCUAGAGCGCCAGGCUUUUAACCUGGUGGUCGUGGGUUCGAGUUGUUCAAUCCACG
This 74-nucleotide transfer RNA is filed under the name Galdieria sulphuraria. It matches the Rfam family "tRNA". Rfam says of the family: Transfer RNA (tRNA) molecules are approximately 80 nucleotides in length. The record is from Rfam by way of RNAcentral. Lineage: Eukaryota; Rhodophyta; Bangiophyceae; Galdieriales; Galdieriaceae.